UACGGAGGAUGCAAGCGUUAUCCGGAAUCAUUGGGCGUAAAGCGUCCGCAGGUGGCUUUUCAAGUCUGCUGUCAAAGCCCGGGGCUCAACCCUGGAGAGGCAGUGGAAACUGAGGAGCUGGAGUACGGUAGGGGUAGAGGGAAUUCCCGGUGUAGCGGUGAAAUGCGUAGAUAUCGGGAAGAACACCAGUGGCGAAGGCGCUCUGCUGGACCGUAACUGACACUCAUGGACGAAAGCUAGGGGAGCGAAUGGG
RNAcentral lists this ribosomal RNA (253 nucleotides) under uncultured Chroococcidiopsis sp. RNAcentral's name for it is "partial 16S ribosomal RNA". It matches the Rfam family "Bacterial small subunit ribosomal RNA", at positions 524 to 776 of the family's 1533-position model. The record is from RNAcentral. Lineage: Bacteria; Bacillati; Cyanobacteriota; Cyanophyceae; Chroococcidiopsidales; Chroococcidiopsidaceae.